AAAGAAGCAAGAAGCAACAAGAACUGCUAAUUCUUGUACCCUUAGUUAAACUCUAAG
RNAcentral lists this transfer RNA (57 nucleotides) under Micromyzon akamai. Its description in RNAcentral is "tRNA-Ser". Lineage: Eukaryota; Metazoa; Chordata; Actinopteri; Siluriformes; Aspredinidae. The record is from RNAcentral.